Molecule: long non-coding RNA, 2709 nt
Organism: Homo sapiens (human)
Lineage: Eukaryota; Metazoa; Chordata; Mammalia; Primates; Hominidae
Gene: ARHGEF26-AS1
Product: ARHGEF26 antisense RNA 1
Source: Ensembl
AGAUCCGCCUCCAUCGCAGCCAGAAGCAAGAAGCUGUCUUCCCGCCCCCGCGUGCCUACAAUCAGCCCCAGUCUCCCUGGGAAACCGACGAGCGCACCUGAGCUGGGUUCUGAGCUCCAGCGUUUUGGGGCUAGAAGUUGCGGACUAGUAGCUGAGGCGGCACGGGAGUGUAGGCGCGCGGGGUCGUUGCCGGGGGCACAGAGUGAGAACAAGCAAGGGAGCCCUGCUGAAUUGCAGCUUAGGAAGCCCUGAAUCCUGGAGAUAUGUUCCUGACCCUUCCUUCUUGAAGGGACAGCUGUGUAACCAUUCAACCAUCUGGCCAUCAGUUUCCACAUCUGUGAAAUCAACUUCUGCCUCAUGGAGCCGUGAGUUCCCAAGCAGUGAAGGCAGUGAGGGGCUGUGGUGUGAUCCAGGAGGCUGAGAAUUAUGCAGUGGGUGCUGUCACCUUGAAGACAUCAGCGUGAUCAGGCAGAUCAUCAUGGUACUGCAUUUCCUGGACACGAUCUUAAUUUUCUUAAUACCUCCACCGACAUUUCAAAUAGCGUCUCUAAUGCCCCAGAGACUUUUAUGCCCCUAAGGUAGUUUUCUUUCUUUUGUGAAGCAGAAGAAGGGAAAUUGUUAAAGGGAAUAUUUUAACUAAAUUUAUUUCCAUAAAACUAUCUUUGUCUUUAUAUCUCAUGGAAAGUGUUAGGUAGCCUCAGGAUUAUAUCUCCGUUGGAAAACUGUAGAUGUAAACCUUCUUGCUAUCUACAUACUUACAUAUUUUUCUGUUGUUAUUUACUUAUGAAUAGCAUUUUGAUUAUAGCAGAAAUAAAAUACAUUAAAUGACUAAGCUCAGAAAUAAGAAAAAAAGGUCAAUGGUGAUCAUUUAUUUGGAAACUAUGAUAUUUUAAUGAUAUUAAUGGUGUAAUUGACAUUUAGUUAAACAUAUUUCAUCGUAAGUAGAGCACUUUAACUCUUACGGUCCACUUAAAAUGUAAUCAUACGUUUAUGUAUUUCUAGUUAAUGUAUCAAACUCAACUGAGUAAUCAAUGUACAUCAUUUAUUUUGCUCCUAAGUUAAUACACUAAGUUAUGCUUUAAAAUUACUAAUUUGCUGCAAUAUCCAAUACUCUCUUUUAAGUCUUACGUCUGCAGAAAAGGAUAUAAACAUUUCAUGACACCAAACCCAAGUAUUUUUGAUGCCCUUGGCAGUGUCAGUUGAACAGACAGUGUCAUUUAAUGUUUGAGACAGCAUCUGAAUUCCUUUUAUUCUUAAAAUUCUAUUUUAAAAUGCAGUUUUUGGAAAGUUAAUGUGAAUAGAAAAAUUUCUAACAUUUUAUGUGCAUGUGUUUUGUUUGUUACAGGCUUAGCAUCUCAAAUCUGAAAAUUCGAAAUCUGAAAUGUUUCUAAAAUUCAACUCUUUUGAGUGCUGAUAUGACUUUCAAAGGAAAAGCUCAUUGGAGCAUUUCAGAUUUUGGAUUUUUGGAUUUGGGAUGUUUAACCAGGGUAAAAUAUAGAAUGCAAAUAUUCCAAAAUCUGAAUAAAAUUGAAAUCUGAAAUGCUUAUGGUUCCAAGCAUUUUGGAUAAGGGAUAAUUAAGCUGUAUAACUUAUAAAACUGAAUAUAACAAAAUUUCCCAACAUGUGGAAAAUGAUGUCUUUUUUCAAAAAUGUCAAUAGCAGAUACAUGGUACAGUAAGUUAGGGGAAAAAAUGAGGUUUCAUAUCUUCUAGUUUCCUAAUUAAAAGGAGCCCAUUCUGGGUUGGAAGAAAGUGUCAGUAAGAUCAUUUCUCCUAUUUGAAAAUCAUACAAAGCUUGUCAGAGUGACUCAGGCCAGGAGUGUAGCUGGGCGUGUAGCUAAAUGAUAUCUCCCCACAUCUAUAUAAUAAGCUGUUACCUGCUUUAAAAGGAAAAGCUCUCAGCAUGACUCUAAUGUUGCAUUUCUGGAAUACAGCUUGAAAAGCUCUUCUCAGGGUUGAACAGAGCAUGAAGGUAAUGGUUAUUAUCUACUCACAUUAAAAAAAAAAAAAAAGAAAGAAACCACCACAGAAAACUACUUACUGUCUUUAGGCUCUACUUUCAAAAGUGCCCUUUAUGAACGCUUUUACACUGUUGAUGGGAGUGUAAAUUAGUUCAACCAUUGUGGAAGACAGUGUGGUGAUUCCUCAAGGAUCUAGAAUCAGAAAUACCAUUUGACCCAGCAAUCCCAUUACUGGGUAUAUACCCAAAGGAUUAUAAAUCAUUCUAUUAUAAAGACACAUGCACACGUAUGUUUAUUGCAGCACUGUUCACAAUAGCAAAGACUUGGAACCAACCCAAAUGCCCAUCAAUGAUAGACUGGAUAAAGAAAUUGUGGCACAUACACACCAUGGAAUACUAUGCAGCCAUAAUAAAAGAUGAGUUCAUGUCCUUUGCAAGGACAUGGACAAAGCUGGAAACCAUCAUUCUCAGCAAACAAGAACAGAAAAUCAAACACUGCAUGUUCUCAGUCUAAGUGGGAGCUGAACAAUGAGAAAACAUGGACACAGAGAGGGGAACAUCACACACUGGGCCUGUUGGGGGGUAGGGGGCUAGGGGAGGGAUAGCAUUAGGAGAAAUACCUAAUGUAAAUGACAGGUUAAUGGGUGCAGCAAACCACCAUGGCAUGUGUAUACCUAUGUAACAAACCUGCAUGUUCUGCACAUGUAUCCCAGAACUUAAAGUAUAAAUAAAUAAAUGAAUAAAUAAAUA